UCCCAAACCCAAUGUGAACGUUACCAAACUGUUGCCUCGGCGGGAUCUCUGCCCCGGGUGCGUCGCAGCCCCGGACCAAGGCGCCCGCCGGAGGACCAACCAAAACUCUUAUUGUAUACCCCCUCGCGGGUUUUUUUAUAAUCUGAGCCUUCUCGGCGCCCCUCGUGGGCGUUUCGAAAAUGAAUCAAAACUUUCAACAACGGAUCUCUUGGUUCUGGCAUCGAUGAAGAACGCAGCGAAAUGCGAUAAGUAAUGUGAAUUGCAGAAUUCAGUGAAUCAUCGAAUCUUUGAACGCACAUUGCGCCCGCCAGUAUUCUGGCGGGCAUGCCUGUCCGAGCGUCAUUUCAACCCUCGAACCCCUCCGGGGGGUCGGCGUUGGGGAUCGGCCCUCCCUCUGCGGGGGCCGUCUCCGAAAUACAGUGGCGGUCUCGCCGCAGCCUCUCCUGCGCAGUAGUUUGCACACUCGCACCGGGAGCGCGGCGCGUCCACAGCCGUUAAACACCCCAACUUUCUGAAAUGUUGACCUCGGAUCAGGUAGGAAUACCCGCUGAACUUAAGCAUAUCAAUAAGCGGAG
This 575-nucleotide ribosomal RNA is filed under the name Trichoderma sp. MKZ-2007a. Its description in RNAcentral is "eukaryotic LSU rRNA". The stretch from base 189 to 342 matches the Rfam family "5.8S ribosomal RNA". The record is from RNAcentral. Lineage: Eukaryota; Fungi; Ascomycota; Sordariomycetes; Hypocreales; Hypocreaceae.